This is a small nucleolar RNA of Onychomys torridus (southern grasshopper mouse), 69 nucleotides long. RefSeq annotates it as small nucleolar RNA SNORD42. The transcript has a single exon. The record is from RefSeq and is a predicted model, not a curated record. NCBI's taxonomy places the organism in Eukaryota, Metazoa, Chordata, Mammalia, Rodentia, Cricetidae.
GUGCAUAUGAUGGAAAGAAUGUAGACUCUCCUGAGACCUAUGAUGUCCUCAAAGGAACCACUGAUGCGC